GAUGAACGCUGGCGGCGUGCUUAACACAUGCAAGUCGAACGGUAAGGCCCCAGCUUGCUGGGGUGCUCGAGUGGCGAACGGGUGAGUAACACGUAAGUGAUCUGCCCUGCACUGGGGGAUAAGCUUGGGAAACUGGGUCUAAUACCCUAUAGGACCGCAUCGUGGUUGGUGUGGUGGAAGGGUUUUUCUGGUGUGGGAUGAGCUUGCGGCCUAUCAGCUUGUUGGUGGGGUAAUGGCCUACCAAGGCGGCGACGGGUAGCCGGCCUGAGAGGGUGGGAGGCCACAUUGGGACUGAGAUACGGCCCAGACUCCUACGGGAGGCAGCAGGGGGGAAUUUUGCACAAUGGGCGGAAGCCUGAUGCAGCGACGCCGUGUGGGGGAUGAAGGCCUUCGGGUUGUAAACUCCUUUCGUCAGGGACGAAGUUUCUUUGACGCUACCUGGAUAAGAAGCACCGGCUAACUACGUGCCAGCAGCCGCCGUAA
This 483-nucleotide ribosomal RNA is filed under the name uncultured bacterium. Its description in RNAcentral is "partial 16S ribosomal RNA". It matches the Rfam family "Bacterial small subunit ribosomal RNA", at positions 28 to 523 of the family's 1533-position model. The record is from RNAcentral.